GGACCAAGGAGUCUAGCAUGUGCGCGAGUCAUUGGGAUAUUUACGAAACCUAAAGGCGUAAUGAAAGUGAAGGUCCGCCUAGCGCGGACCAAGGGAGGAUGACCGGCCGUUAGUGGCCGUUCCGCACUCCCUGGGCGUCUCGUUCUCAUUGCGAGAAGAGGCGCACCAAGAGCGUACACGCUGGGACCCGAAAGAUGGUGAACUAUGCCUGGUCAGGACGAAGUCAGGGGAAACCCUGAUGGAGGUCCGUAGCGAUUCUGACGUGCAAAUCGAUCGUCGGAACUGGGUAUAGGGGCGAAAGACUAAUCGAACCAUCUAGUAGCUGGUUCCCUCCGAAGUUUCCCUCAGGAUAGCUGGCGCUCGCUUUUCGCGAGUCUCAUUCGGUAAAGCGAAUGAUUAGAGGCAUUGGGGUCGAAACGGCCUCAACCUAUUCUCAAACUUUAAAUGGGUGAGAUCUCCGGCUUGCUUGAACUGUGAAGCCGCGAGAUAUCGGAUCAGAGUGCCAAGUGGGCCACUUUUGGUAAGCAGAACUGGCGCUGUGGGAUGAACCAAACGCUGAGUUAAAGCGCCUAAAUCGACGCUUAUGGGAUACCAUGAAAGGCGUUGGUAACUUAAGACAGCAGGACGGUGGCCAUGGAAGUCGGA
RNAcentral lists this ribosomal RNA (645 nucleotides) under Isoplia lasiosoma. RNAcentral's name for it is "eukaryotic LSU rRNA". It matches the Rfam family "Eukaryotic large subunit ribosomal RNA", at positions 663 to 1265 of the family's 3401-position model. The record is from RNAcentral. Lineage: Eukaryota; Metazoa; Arthropoda; Insecta; Coleoptera; Scarabaeidae.